RNAcentral lists this small RNA (303 nucleotides) under Oryza sativa Japonica Group (Japanese rice). RNAcentral describes it as "misc RNA OsRPL34". The record is from RNAcentral. Lineage: Eukaryota; Viridiplantae; Streptophyta; Magnoliopsida; Poales; Poaceae.
GAGCAGAAGAUUGUGAAGAAAGUCUUGAAAAUACAGAAAACCAAGGACAAGUCAGCCUCAAAGUAGACAACUCUUGGAAGUGGAAGCAAGGCGAUGUGCUAUAAACAAGGAAAACAUUUUUGUUGAUGGUGAUGAUCAAUGGUCUAGCCUCUUCUAGCUGAAUGUUUUAGUAUAACUGUCUGAGUUUGGAGUACUUGAAAUCCGUCUACCAUUGUGAUGCACUUGAUGUCAAAUGUUGCUGAGACAUAUUUGAUCCGCUCUUUUGUUCACUUCUCUGAAUUGCGAAUGAAUUUUACUUACUUG